CCUACGGGUGGCAGCAGUGGGGAAUAUUGGACAAUGGGGGCAACCCUGAUCCAGCCAUGCCGCGUGUGUGAAGAAGGCCCUCGGGUUGUAAAGCACUUUCAAUGAGGAAGAACGCCUGGUGGUUAAUACCCAUCAGGAAAGACAUCACUCACAGAAGAAGCACCGGCUAACUCCGUGCCAGCAGCCGCGGUAAUACGGAGGGUGCGAGCGUUAAUCGGAAUUACUGGGCGUAAAGCGCGCGUAGGUGGCUUGAUAAGCCGGUUGUGAAAGCCCCGGGCUCAACCUGGGAACGGCAUCCGGAACUGUCAAGCUAGAGUGCAGGAGAGGAAGGUAGAAUUCCCGGUGUAGCGGUGAAAUGCGUAGAGAUCGGGAGGAAUACCAGUGGCGAAGGCGGCCUUCUGGACUGACACUGACACUGAGGUGCGAAAGCGUGGGUAGCAAACAGGAUUAGAUACCCGGGUAGUC
RNAcentral lists this ribosomal RNA (465 nucleotides) under Vreelandella stevensii. RNAcentral's name for it is "partial 16S ribosomal RNA". It matches the Rfam family "Bacterial small subunit ribosomal RNA", at positions 338 to 795 of the family's 1533-position model. Lineage: Bacteria; Pseudomonadati; Pseudomonadota; Gammaproteobacteria; Oceanospirillales; Halomonadaceae. The record is from RNAcentral.